UGGGGAAUAUUGGACAAUGGGCGAAAGCCUGAUCCAGCCAUGCCGCGUGUGUGAAGAAGGUCUUCGGAUUGUAAAGCACUUUAAGUUGGGAGGAAGGGCUGUCGGCUAAUACCCUGCAGUUUUGACGUUACCAACAGAAUAAGCACCGGCUAACUUCGUGCCAGCAGCCGCGGUAAUACGAAUGGUGCAAGCGUUAAUCGGAAUUACUGGGUGUAAAGCGCGCGUAGGUGGUUCAGCAAGUUGGAUGUGAAAGCCCCGGGCUCAACCUGGGAACUGCAUCCAAAACUACUGAGCUAGAGUACGGUAGAGGGUGGUGGAAUUUCCUGUGUAGCGGUGAAAUGCGUAGAUAUAGGAAGGAUCACCAGUGGCGAAGGCGACCACCUGGACUGAUACUGACGCUGAGGUGCGAAAGCGUGGGGAGCAAACAG
Molecule: ribosomal RNA, 428 nt
Filed under: uncultured bacterium
Lineage: Bacteria
Description: bacterial SSU rRNA
Rfam family: Bacterial small subunit ribosomal RNA
Source: RNAcentral